UACAGAGGGUGCAAGCGUUGUUCGGAUUCAUUGGGCGUAAAGGGUGCGUAGGCGGCGCGGUAAGUCGGGUGUGAAAUCUCGGAGCUUAACUCCGAAACUGCAUUCGAUACUGCCGUGCUUGAGGACUGGAGAGGAGACUGGAAUUUACGGUGUAGCGGUGAAAUGCGUAGAUAUCGUAAGGAAGACCAGUGGCGAAGGCGGGUCUCUGGACAGUUCCUGACGCUGAGGCACGAAGGCCAGGGGAGCAAACGGG
This 253-nucleotide ribosomal RNA is filed under the name uncultured bacterium. Its description in RNAcentral is "partial 16S ribosomal RNA". It matches the Rfam family "Bacterial small subunit ribosomal RNA", at positions 524 to 776 of the family's 1533-position model. The record is from RNAcentral.